Long non-coding RNA from Populus euphratica (Euphrates poplar), 10902 nucleotides. RefSeq lists it as uncharacterized. The record is from RefSeq and is a predicted model, not a curated record. The transcript has 2 exons. Lineage: Eukaryota; Viridiplantae; Streptophyta; Magnoliopsida; Malpighiales; Salicaceae.
GGUCAGUGCCCAAGUCGCUAUAGAGUAUAGGACUUAUGUAGAUAUAAGAUAAUCCAUCCUUUUAGGAUGGGCUGACGGUUCCGUACUCCCUUCACUCUUUUAGUUUAGGGUGGGGAAGACUUCGUACCUUCCUUUACGUAGGCUAAGCUAGCGGAUCAGAGAGAGAAGCCUGAGUUCCAGCUCUUGGAAAAAGUUCAGUAAAGUCAGUAGAGCUAGUCCUUUUAUUUAUUUAAAAUAGCUAUUCUGAUCUAUCAAUUUAUAAGUAGUCAUUUAUAUAAAGCCAGGUACGAAUGGAGCUUAGUUGUUUUUCAUGCUUUCUUGCUAACCAUUGAUCAUUUAUGGUUGAAAUCGCAAACUCUUUAGAGUUUGGGAGAGAGACCUCCUACCUUUCCAAGUCAAGAUAGGGAAGUAAAGUAGAGUGGAGAAUCAUCCGAUACCGCUGCCUUCAUCCCAGCGCUGUCCUAAUAGCGAUAUGCUUAAGAGAGGGAAGUCGUGUUCGUAAACUCACCCUUACUUUUGGAACUUUAGUCUCUUUACCUUUCCCAGCUUAGAGGCAUGUAGCGAAGACUUAGUGACUCCCCAAGGCAUGAGUCAAAGAAAAUGCUAUAUGUAUCUAAUGCAAGACCCAUCGAUAAGCUAAGGCUACGACAUGAAGAAAGGCCAGAAGAACUACAGAACCACGCCCACCAGAGCUAAAGAAAGAUAGACCGAAGGGACUUGCGGUAAGCCGCCAUUUUGUGUACGUACCGUCCCUUCGCAGUUUCGGUGAGGAGGGAGGUGGUUACUAUUAUGCCUAGCGAAAAUAAGCCGGGCAGGAUUUGAAAGAAGACCUAAAAUAAAAAGCCUGCGUCUUCAAGUCACUCUUACAUAUACUUAUCAUACGAAUAAGAGAAGAGCACCUACACCUACGACUAAGAAGACAACAAGUUCAUCAUCAACCGGAAGACAGACACGAAAGAGACAGAGAUUAGUGAGCGGAGGUGAUAGACCCAAGAAAAAGAGGAGAGGCGGAGGGCAUACUCGAGAUCAGUGACUAUAGACCAGAAGCCACUAACUAUGGUUAUUAGUUGCCGAAGCUGAAGGCUCUGAAAGAGGCGACCAACGAAAAAGUGUACCAUUAGCUUCUUCUCUUCUGUCUGUUCUUCCUGCCUUUGACUACGAACCCAACAAAAAGUCAAGUGCAAGAACCAGAGCAGGAUUUCAAACCAGUUUCAGUUUUCCAGGCUCGACCUAUGGGUAAGAGCGUAGUCUACAAAGCGAAAGGUACUACGUUCCUCUCCUUUCAGUCGAUCGUACUUUGGUCGUUCAUCUGAUCUGUUUAAUGAAUAUCUCUUUCUUUCUUCUCCGGGGAGUAAGCAAAGCAUUCUGUCUUAGGAGAACCCUUACCCUUAGGCUGAGUAAGAAGUCUUGCCUUAGUAAGUGACGGUCUGGUAAGCAUGGGCAAGCCUGAGAUGCCUGUGUUUGCUUUCCAUAGAAAAUAUGCCUUCGGCUUGUGCUUUGGAGAGUCUGUCUCUUGUUUAGUACCCCCGAACUCCCUUUUCUUUUCACAUUCUCUUUGAUAGUUAGAAAAGAAAAAGCACGAGAAGGAAGAGAAGAAAAGUCAAAGUUGUAGGCCCUUUUUAAACAAAGAUUCAGCCGUGGUCUCGAAGAUGGCGCCCUUUCGUGGUCUCUUUUUCUAUUCUUUUUUUUUUUUCAAGCCGCAAUUGAAAUCCAUUUUCUUUCUAGUAAGCUAGGGCUUAGUAAGCAAAUCAAAGGAGUCGUCAAGCUGGGGCAAGUCAAGUUAGUUUUUAGCAGUCUCGUGAAGCAGUCUCAGCGAGGCGCUAGGUAAAAGGCAGCUAGGGCGUGAGUUUAGUUUCUUAGCACAGACAGAAAAGGUUAGGGCAGCUGGGGAAUUAGUUGAAGUUCAAGCAUCUCUUGUUUGUAAAAGGAUAAUCUCUUCCAGUCUAUCCAAUUGCAUAAGGACAUCCGGUUCUGGCAUCGAAUGGCUCUUUCUUUUUGGCUCUUCCAACUUUAGAGUUUCCUAAUUUAAGAAGUCCCUAAUCUAUUCUAUCAGUACUACUAGCGAGCUAACAUGCUAACAGUAGUUAAAAACUGGUCUUUCUCCAGCUCCCCUUUUUACCUAGCAUAAUAACUAACAGGCUUAGAAGACUAGCAGUUCUACUAAUAGGAUAAGAGUGAGUUGGAAAAGGCUAUUCUUCUCAUUCCUUCCCUUGAUCUGACAGUGCAGAGUAAGAAGGGCCUAAAGAACAUUACCAGUAAUCCGAGGCAAGCGCAUAAGAGAGCUAGCUUGUAUAAGAGUCAUAAGAGGACUAAGAAUAAGAAAGGUCCAACUCGUACUAAGGCUAUCGGUACUACUCUUCCAAAUUUCCUAACGUGGAAAAGGUAUCUACUAUGUUUACCCUUUCUAACAGAAAGACCAGCUCUCCCCUUAGUCUAAAUAGCUAGAUAAUCUCCCAGCCUUUAGUCAGGGGCAAGCUAGUUCUUUAGCAAAAUCAGUAGUCUUUCAAGCAAAGAGGGAUAGGAACUAGUUUGAGGUAUAGGUUCUCCCCGUGCUGGUACUAGAAAAAGUACUAGUGUAAAGUAGUAGGUUUGGUUACAGGAAUAAGGUAGGUUGGUUAUAGGAAACACUCUCUAGUAGUGGAGUUUCAAGCUCCUGUUUGUUUCGUUGCCUACCCUUAGGUAGUGCUUGAGCCUUAGUAUCGGGUUCUCCUUCCCGGCACUGGAUCAGUCACUAAGCGAAUGUGCAACUAUCAAACCAUCUGUUUUUCUAUUCGGUCUGUCUUCAGCAGGCCAACUAAUCUAAACUACUAAUCUACAAAACAACUAUUAGAAAAGAAGUUCCUCCCCGCUUCCAUAGCACAUAGCUAUUGAUCUCCUUACCCCAACCAGGUGCUACUCCGAUCUCGCCGCCAGUAAUGCUCGAUUCCCACCUCCCGCCUCUCCAUCCUAGCUUCAGAAAGAAUCUCACCCUUCUGCUGUCCCUGCCUCCAGCUCCAGGAACUCCUGCACCGUUCUGCGCCUUUUUGAAUGAAGCGCCUAGUUUCACCGCUUUCUUCUUACCCACGCGAGAUUGGUAUUCAGUCUGCCAAAACGAAACUAAAAAAGGGGUCUUUCUAAUUUCGUAUAUAAAUGUAAAUGUGGGUUGUCGGGUUUGGAUCGAAAUAGAAUCCCCAAAAACUGGGGCAUCCGUUUUCUACUUGUUCUGCUUCGAUAGAGGGGCUGUAAGUAGAAUAAGAAUCGUUCGCUCUUAUCCUUCCUUCGCUGCAGAUGGCGGAGCUACCACACGUUGAUUGGUGGAUUGAAUGAGAUUGAUGGGCACUAGCACAAGAGCCAUAGAUAAAUAGACAAAGAAGUUCAGCUGCCAGAGUCGAUCCUAUCCCGUAUUUACCAGCAAAAAAAUAGGGGAGUCAUCUGUCUAACGAGAAAGGAGGGGCGUCUAUCCUUCUAUAUGACCAAAAAGGCCUUGUCACGAACUGGGCUCGAACCAGCGCUUUCCAGAAACAUGGUCUGGAUGUCAACCUUUCUGAUCGUGACUUUGGUUACCCGGUUCCUCACGCUGCCCAUGAGUACGUCCGGGGGGAUUUCUCAUCAUCUUUUUUUCCCGUUUCACUCACUUCUUUUUCUUCCAAUUCAGAGAAGACUGAAGUGAAGAUUAGAAUACGAAUAAGAUAAAAAAGGCCAUCACCAAAAACCAGACGAUGGUAUAAAAAGUCAUGUAGAUGAUGGGGGAUCCCGGCGUAUUACGUCAUGGAUCCAGUGAGCGUUCAUGUCAGCAGAGUUCCACGCCUCGUUAGACAUAUAUUUCCGUAAAAAGCGGAGCAAGCCCCGGAUCCGCAUUUGCGGAUAUUAUAGGAAAACUCAUCUUCGGGCUCCCAAGAAAUGAAAAUGAGUUCUGCCCCGUACUUACCACAGAACCCCAUGCCACUACAAUAGCGCAAACAAUUUUAGAAGCUUCUCCAGAGCCUUACGAAUGUCUUUCCGAAGACGCACCUUUUCUGGGUCAUCGUCCUCCGGAGCACCAGACUGGGCGGGCCCUGGCCCGCGUGAAGUGGAGGCACCGUGCCAACCAUGUUUCCUUUCUGAAAUUUUUAUUUUUCAGUAAAAAGAUUAUUAAAAUAAUACCAAAUAAAAUGAAAAAACAAUCGGCAUGGUUCUGGGUGUAAAGCAGCUCGAUACGGAUAGUAGUAUCCAUUCUAGAUUGAAAAAACAAAGUAGGCAUCGCUCUUGACCUUGUCCUCUCCCCUUAUGCCCUAUCACUAGUGAUUACUCCCAAUCCAAAGCACCCCUUUUCCAUUCAUAGAGAAAUCCAAUCGUCAAAAUCAAUAAAAAGGCCAUCAUGGACCAAAAUCCAAACAGAUCAAUCUUGUUGAGAGAGACUGCCCAAGGAAAGAAAAAGGUUACUUCCAGAUCAAAGAUAAUAAAUAAAAUGGAAACAAGAUAAAAUCGUAUAUCGAAACGACUUCUGGCAUCACCGAAAGGGUCGAAACCACAUUCGUAGGCCGACAAUUUUUCUGGAUAGGUCGAACUAGGGGAAGCAAAUAGAAAAGGAAGACCGAGUAAGAUCAAAGAAACUAGCAGACUGAUCACUAAAUAGAUACAAAUAGGUGCAAAUUCUAACAUCACCACAGCCCACUGGGUUCAUUCGCUCUGCUCGUGGAGCGGAAUACCGGAAAAAAAAGAAAAAUCAUGAAAUAGGAAUUGCCUACCCGCUUUCCUUUCGGUCAGCUGCCCCGUGACCAACCUCACAGGUCCCACUCAAUCUUUUACACCGAUGUAUCGUACUCCCUCGACCAGGUCAUCAUAAGAAAGCAAAAUCUUUCCGAAAUGAGAGAAGGAGGGAAGGCGGGCUACAACUAACAUAAUAGCCAGCUGAGCUGAAAAAGGCUAGCUAGCUAGGCUAGCGCGCAAUGGCUUUCUCUGAUAGGGGCUCGCUUCUUCGGCGCUCCGAACAACCUAUACGACGGCUCGCUUUCUCUCAGCCACAAGUGGCUUAAGGAGUGGUCGGCCUUCCUACGUGGUCCCCCGCCCCCCUACUUUUUAAUCCAAAAGGUGCCUUUGAAUGUUGUCGUGACGCUUUGGUUACGAAGGUUACGGGGGUCUGGGUUUAUGGAUGAAUUCAGUCAGCGAAAGUCCCUCAAACUCAAUCAAUAUCAACAACAUGUCGUGACGCUUGGUUGAUUUUGUCAGAAAAGUAGGUUUCGGGGGUUCAUUGAUUAGUACACCUCUGGUGCUGGUAAGGUCGGGAUCGUGGUCGUCCAUCUCCAGUUUGCCGGCCGAUAAGAUCUCUGAGAUUGACCAGACAGCUGACUUGGUUUGGCUAUUCCUUUCUAUUGAAAAAGAGUCAGCUGUCUGCGCGAGUCACCUUCUUCUAGGCUCCGCUGGACGACACGGCAUUCUCGUUCAAAUAUAGGCCGGCCGUCCUUGUGAUGGUUCCCAAGGAUCCAAUAUGAUACCACUUAGGUCUACGUUGCCACGAUAUUGUUCUAUGUAAGCGGGCGGGCUUGUUAGAAGUUCGGCCCGGUUUUUUUUGGUGUCGUAGGGGAGGGAUUGACCUUUCUAACGCAUAUUCAGUCGUACCGGCAUGGCCCCAUUGAUUUGUUUUCGAUCGGAGCAUAAAGCAGCGCAACCCGGUUCUACUUGACUAAGCCUCGUGCUCGUCCAAGGAGGGAGUUUGCUUUACCCAACUCCCUUUUUGAUAAUAAGGCAGAAACCCCCGACCGGACAUUCAUUAGUUUCGAAUGAAGAAUGAGGAGUGCCCUGCCCCAGAUAGCACCUACUCCUAACAAAAUGAAAAGCGUGACUUUACUAAACAAGCAAGAAUAGAAAGGGCUUUUCUCGCUUGUUGCUUUCUUCGAAUCGCAUGCUUGAGCGCAAGAAUACAUAUAAAAGCUUUCCUUGAGUUUUCAAUAAAAUAAGGGGCGCCCCAUCUAUAGUGACGGGGCCUCUUUCAAUAAAGCUCGCGCUAGGCGCUCUUUUUGGCUUCCCUUAAAUCGAAUAUUUUAGAAAUUGGUAAAGACCCACCCCUUGUUUCAGUCAGAAUGAGUCCCCGGGACCCCGGGACAUUGGCUUCCGCCAACAGUGGACUAUUAAGGAUCGCAUCCCGCGCAUAUUCUACAUUAUAGCCUGCAACUGAUUCAGCUUCCGCUUCUGGGAGAUCAAACGGAGCUCGAUUAGUUUCUGCUAGACAAGAAAUGAAGAACAUAACCAAUACAGGGAACAAGGGAAUACCAGACCAUAUCUGCUUUUGCGCCAUGACAAUCUCACUCGAAUUACGGGGACCCACACAUAUUAGUACAGUAAUAAGAAUAAGACCAAUAGAGACUUCAUAAGAGACCAUUUGAGCUGCAGAUCGUAAUGCUCCUAGAAAGGCAUAUUUCGAAUAUAGAGGAGUGAAAGUUCCCAACAAUCAACUAUCAUACCCUUCUAUGAACCGUACGAGCACGUCCUCUGAAACCCCCCAUCGCGCUUACGGCUCUAUACCCCAACGUGACUUGCUCUGGCCCCGGCCCGCUCCGCACCUCGGUAAGCGGACCGUGGGAGCAUGGGGGGCGGUAUCCGCUUUUGACUGAUAUAAAAUCUCUCUUUUGUCUCUUGCCAAAAAAAUCACAAUAGAAAAAGUUGUUCUUGCCGAGAAAGUCGCGUCGGAGACAUCUUUAUCUGAGGUUGGGUCCCCCUGCGUCGACCGGCUCCUCAGAUAAAGAUGUUAGGAUUGGCCGGCUCAUCUUCGGAAUCCGAAAAUAAAACAGAGACAGAACAGAUUGUUUCAGUGACAUAUAUACGAAGAUCUUUUUCCCCUGUUUGAGGCCUCGUACGAAUCAGUUACAUGGAAUCAUGCAAAGAGGCUUGAAAGCCGGUGAACUUGACUUAUCUUAUGCGUCAUUUUCAACUGAUCAUUCCUACCGAUCCAUUCUAUUCCUUGGCUCAUCAUAAGGAUAGCUACUUAUAAGAUAAGAGGGGAAGAAGACCUGAUUCGUAUCCAUUAUGAAAUUCCAAAGAUCCUUUCCUUCUAGUCGAGCUAUCUAUCGCUCCUUGUAUGGAACUAUUACCUUAUCUUUAGAGCGUGAUUCCAAAGCCCCUGCUACCCCUCUGUCAAGUGAGCUUCAAAAGGUGAAAGUCUUAAAAAAGUGCCCUAUCGCGUAAAGCCAAGUAUGUGUGGCCCGUCUUCGUGAUUUCCCCCCUACACGCUUACCCUCUCGCGGAUGUAACCCUUUCCCUAUCGGUCGAGCUAUUUCAAAAGCAGGUUCGCCAGGACCUACUAGUGAUAGAAAGACGGAUAAUGUUUAAUGAGGGUUGGAGACAGGUUUCGAGUCGCCCAAUUCAGUUGUCACUUUGGUGGUAAAUCUAUUGCUUAAGCGGUUCUGAAAGCAGCUCGUCCGUAGUCCAGAGGUGGGUCUCGACUGACUUUCCUUUAAGAAGGUGCCUUUUUUUCGUAGCAGAAAGAGGGCUUGGGCAACUAAAUCACGUUCGUACGAAAACGAGUUGGAAUACUAUUUCCGAUAGGGAAGCCGGGAGCGAAAGCCAACAGGCGAGGGUUUUGAAUUCCAGAGUCUCAGCCGUAAGGGAACGAACUACAUAGGAUUCUCCAGCUUUUGAUCUUAGAAGGCGACCCAAGGGAGGGCUGUGACUUAUACGAGUGACCACCCCUCCCCCUAUGGUCGAGCUGCUUCGCCCCUCUCCUGACAAGGUCAGUCUCAAAGACCCAGACUCUUUCUAAUCUGUUUACAACCCACUACUCUUCGAGGUCUGUCGUAAACCCCUAUACGAGCAACUCCGUGCCUUGGACUAUCGGUCACGCCUCUUGCUAAAGGCCAUCUCUAUCUACUGAUCGGGGCUCUCUCUUUACUACCAAAAUGCCCUUUCUAGUUUUUGAUCUUGGCUCAUCAGAAGGCUUAGCUAUUCUCUCUCUUAUUUAUGUAAAUUCAUUAGAAAGACCCGUACCCUAUCCCUCUAGCUGCCGGCUUGGUGUGAAGUGAUCAUAGCCUGGGCUUAGUGGAGUCCUUACGAUAUUCUGAAAGAUCGAAUGCGACUGGGAUCACGGAAGGCUAGCGUUAUGCUUUACUCUACCUAUCGAAUCUUCAAAGCGUAAGAACUGAGCUACUUCGUUCCUUUUCAUCUUUAAUAACGUGUUCAGUUAGAAGAGCAAAUCCCCCUCUCCAACCCAAACCCAAGGGGAGCAGAAGAUAACGAAAGGGAGACUUCUAACUAAAUCAUAAGACAAGCUCCCCAUUCCAUCUAUCAUAUCAGUCGAGUCGAUCCGAUUCGUUCUUAUCUAUAGAUAACGCAAGAGAGAACUGAUGACUUCGCGGAUGGAGAGGGAUUCGAACCCCCGGUAUCCCUAAAAAUACUUCGGUUUUCAAGACCGACUCUUUCAACCGCUCAGACAUCCAUCCCCUUCGCGCUUCGCUCGCCCUAUCUAUCCGCGAGCUGGCAGGUAGGGGCUUAUCUAUGUGAUUCGCUACGCUUGCUUGCGCCUAUCGGCGGGCUCUAUUGCCUGCCGGUUAGCGAAACUUUGACGGUAGUACGAAUCGCUACGCUUCGCUUGUUUCUAUAUGAUAAUAUGCACCUACCUUGCUGCGCUCCCUGCGGAGCAAGAGAGUGAAGAACGAAUGAUCCUCCAAACAAAAAGAGUGAUCACGUCCGACGUGAGCGAGUGAGUGAAAGGCGUGGCAAGAGAGCGAGUUCAACUCGCGAACGAUCAGCAAGUGAAGUACCGAUCCUUUUGCGCCAGUUGCGAGACUGGUACUUGACGGCUCACGAGCAUAGACUAAGGUAAGGUUGCCCAUCACUCUCUCGCUCUUUUUUGAAGGCCUUUUCUUCUAUUUUCUUUCUAGUAUAGUACCAUAAGAAGACUGAACGCCCAGCUUCGCGGAGCAGCUCUCUCCCCAGCCCACAGCAUAGUGUGGAAUCUGGAUCGUUUCAUCGAGCAACAUUUCUUUUAGAUAGAAAGGUGUUCUGACUCUAUUGGAUCAAGUCAUAACCUACGCCUUCUACUAGUAUACUACUAUGGAGAGACUAAGCUCUAUUUCAGAGAUUGGGCUCUCUUACUGUGCUCCGCCCCUACUAGUAAGAAGCUCUUCCCGAGCCAGGUUCCCUGGAUCUACGUGUUCCGGGGAGGGCCUAAAUGGAUGAAUUAAGAGGCGCGCCCAGGGGGUAGACUUCAAGAGCUCUUGCUCUGCGUAUCCUCCUACUUCUUAUUCUGAGGAUGAGGAAUCAUACGAACCGCCUACUCGCCCUACCAUUCAUUCUAAAAAAAAAAUGAAAGCUGCUCGCCUUCACUAAGAAAACAAUCCCUCCCCUUCUGUUACCUAUUUUGACUCAUAUCUUCGGUAUACCGUGAUACAAGACAAGCACAGGAAAGGUGCUUCUUCCAAGCGGUCCCUCGCCCUAUUCUCUCUCAAUUGCCUAUCCUUUCUAGAUGAGGGGGAGUACCUUAGCAGUAGCUUCCAACACUUAAGAUUGACCUCCGUGAGUGCCAGAUAUGAAUGGUUUAUGAAUUUCAUACGGGACUACUUUCUUACCUAUAAAAGUUCAACCAUGACUAAAGAAACUGACCUAAGAUAGCUCUCUCUCUCAAAUACAAAUCCCAAGAAAGAGAUUCCUUGGAUAAGUGGAUAAAUUUCAUUUCAAUUUGAAUUUAAGGCGUUUGUCCUACUUAUAUUAUAGUAUAAAUGUAUAAAUCAGUCUUCCAGCCUAUCGAAAUUCGUGUUUUUCUCCACCAACAACACAUGCACUUUGUUGGCACUCACUCACUCAAAAAAAAGGUUAUUCAAUCCACUAGUGCAACUGAAGGUGCGUAGCCUCUUCUGAACCGAAACAAGAAAGAACUCAUAACCACUGCUUGUGAACAGCUCUCCUCAACUGAAGGCGCACCUACUGUUACUAGAAGUCUAGUCUCUCUCAGGUCCAGUUUCGAUCUCGAACUUACUUACUUUACUUAAUAGGCCGGAAGAGAGAUUAUUCAGAAAACCCGAUUUCCUGUCCUGUCUUAAGAACCUGACUCAAAAGAGAAAAGAAGACCGGACUAAAAGAGAUAUCACUUUUUCACUUUUAUAUCCAGAUUGGAACUGGAUUUUAACGUCUUUGGAUCCUGAGCCGGCUCCACUUUCCGGAAUCCUUGCUCCUGGCUUAUAUUCACAUAGGCCACUCAUAAGAAUAAGACGUUCAACUCCCUAAAACACGUAUAAUUGAGAGACUCAUAAUCUCAUUGGGUAAAUGCCUACCUUCGGGAGAAUCUUACCGAACGAGUUGUGACCCUGUCCUCUUCGCUUCCCAAGAUAUUUAGGGAAAAGGGCCGUCGUCGGCCACCGCUUGCUGACGACGGAACGCAUCGUCAAUUAAAAGUCCUCGCGUUGGACUUAGUUGGAAGGGUAGGUGUUCGGCAUGUCCCUUGCUUGCGAACUUAUAGGGCGGGUUUGGGGAUCCCAUUCCUCACGUUUCCCGUUGUCCCCAGACUUCAUUCUUUCAACACUUGUAUACUUUCUUAAUAGUCAGGCGUGUCCCUGUCUCUGUCUCUAACAAGUGUGUGUGAUCCACCGAUUUACUGAGUGACUCUUUCUUACCGCCCAUCUCUUAAAUUAAAGCCUUAUCAGACUUCCGAUCCUUUUUGCCGAUUGAAGAAUUUUAUGGUUUCACGAGAAAAAGCCCGGUGCUUUCUAAAAGCCUAAAUACAAUCAAACGUGAGCGCUAACAUUCGCGCAGCUCAAGGAGUUGCUUGUUGCUUUCGAGCCGGAGCUUGCUGGGUAGUCAAGUAGUCCGUGAAGGUUAAAUCACACUUGUGUUAAACAAGCAGAGUAGUCAAGCCAGAGAGGCAAAAAAAAGCAAGAAGCGGCGAUCGACGAAAUCAAUCGUACUUUCACUGCUGUGGACCGGCUUUCAUAAAGCACCUUUGGGCAGCUGCUACUA